Long non-coding RNA from Dermochelys coriacea (leatherback sea turtle), 6322 nucleotides. RefSeq lists it as uncharacterized. The transcript is spliced from 3 exons. NCBI's taxonomy places the organism in Eukaryota, Metazoa, Chordata, Testudines, Dermochelyidae. The record is from RefSeq and is a predicted model, not a curated record.
CCGUGUCUAGCUGCGGAGAGCCGAGCCGAGCCGAGCCGAGCCGAGCGUCCCCAUAGAUUGAAGCAGUGAUGUGUUCAGAGGAUGGCUUUGGGCCAGAACAGCUUUUCCCUAUGAUGAGAAAACAAAGUUCUUAGGAGCCAGGGCUCUGAAGCCGCCUGCGAAGUCAUUCUCAAGCCUGCUCCUUCUACCUUGAAGCCUCCCAGACACUUCUGAAGAACUUUUGCCGAGGUUACCUUUUCCCGAUGGUGCAAAAUCGACUUGACAUAACUGUUCAUCAGUUUCAGGGUUUUCCCUGGAGGUAUUUGCAUCAAAUCAGCCCAGUCAAGCUUCAAGUUGAAAUUGGCAGGCCAGAAACUGACAGGGUAGGGACUGGGAAAGAGACAGCUAAAGUGCAGGCAGCAAACUGACAGCAGCAGAGUGAAAGACACACACAGAGAGAAAGAAGCUAAGCUUUUCAACUUUGGGGGAGGGGGGACAUCAAAUCUAAAUGUUUUAGGUCUUAAUAGUACUGGAUACAGUGAAGUUUUUCAAGGCUGGAGGACCAGUGCCUUUAUCCAGUUCCUAGAACCAGGAAAGACUUGCUCUGCUACACUCUGUACAAAGUGUAGUUUAAUCUGAUUGGAUGCCUAAAGAGGAGUGGUGAGACCUAAUCAGAUCAUGCUAAAGUUCUAGGGAAUAGGAACCUCCCAUGGACUUUGAAGAGAAGCAUUUAAAAAAAUAGAAAAUAAAAGUGGAGUAAUCAUGAAAAGUUGUCAGCAUUAGAUUUAACAAGCUUACUUUGCUGCAAUUCUUUUCUGGAGUAGUGUCAUGCUUAUGCACCACAAAUGUGAAGACAAAUGACUGAAAAGGUUGCUAAUACCAGUGAAAACAUAUUUUGAUCAGCUAAAAAGAGAGGAGCGCAAUAUGUUUAUCUGCAAAGAUAAUUAGAAACCUCCCUCCCCCCAGCAUUUCCUUGAAUAUGUUAUUUCACUUACGCUCUGUCACUUGAGGGCCUCAGAUCAGGAUGACACAAAAUUUUUUUUUAAAUAGAUUAUUUUAAAAAAUCUGGGGUGAAAAACACCAGGACAGAAUUUUACUGACUAAAAAUAGCUGUACAUCCUAUUUAGAACCCCACACCUCCAGGUGCAUUAAAGGAAGAAAAAUAUAUGUUUUCCUCCAUUUAAAAUUAUUUAUUUAUUUAUUGGUCUUUACUGGAUGAUUAAAAAUCCUUCUGACUUCUCCUACCAGACUUGUGCUAAAGUAAGCCUUGCUUUCAAACAGUUUUUCAGCUGUGUGUGUGACAGGCAUUGGCUGAUCUGCUGAUGCCCAUUCGACAGGCACUGUUGAGCUAAAGUGGUGUGACGGCACAGUUUUGUUAAGCUGUGAACAAAGGGCUGGAGAUGCCUCGCUGGCAUCAUCCAUGUGCAUAUUGGCCUUGUCACAGUAUUGCUUGAUUUAAUGCUCUGUUUAUUCCUAGAUAUUAGAACUUAAAUUCCAAACAAUAUGUUUUCAUAUACUACAUAUGAACUUUAUUUUAAAAGCUUUCACUCCCAAAGAACCACAGAUCCAUUUGUUUCUUCAAUUUCUAUGCAGCAAAUAUUUAAAAUGUAGCUCCUAGAUGGAUAGGUGGCCACUAGCCUCUUAACUGUUAUCCAGCUAAAAAUGGGAUUUCAGUUUUAAAAAGUCUUAUUGGGGUAAAAGAUUUAUUUUUCUUUGAUCAUUGCUUGAGAGUUGUUAUUUAUUUCAACAGUGGAUUUUCUUAUAAGCUCCUAAAGAAAGGUUACCCUCUGUGCAGACAGGGCCAGCUGGUUGGACUUUUCAAAUGACAUAUCAUCCCAAUGGUGCUGCUGUGAUAAAAUGAUCACUUUGCAAAUACCUGUAAGCACAAUGACAUGAUUAUUGGCAGGUUAGUGGAAAGAAAACAGGUUUUAGAUUUUUAAAAAUUUGUUCAUUGGAUGGGUACAACUUUACAUCUCAGCAGAAAACUUGAGUAGCUAAUCCUAAAUUUAGAUUCUGAUUGUUGGAGAUGCCUCAGGCUUUAUCUUUAAAAAAGUUUUUCUUCUUUUUAAACUCUGUUCAGGUUUGCUGCAAGUGUUUGCUAAGAGAUUAGUUAGCUAGCUUGCGCUGAGGAGGUAGCCAUGGGAAGCAGUGCUUUGCUGGAAGGAAUGUUCAGUAGGUCAGGGUGUGAAGAUAUAGGGAGCUGCGACUAACAGAAGCUUGGGAUCAGGUAUUUUCCUCUUUGUUUCAUAUCAAAAACAAAGUGCUUAUGGAAAGGUUUGUGGUGAGACAUCAGAUCCCAGCAGGAACACAGCUGUUGUUUUGCAGGAUUCCUAAUGAACAUUUUAGCUCAACAAGUUUAUGAAAUAAAAGGUAUUUUGUUUCUUUAUUAUUAUUUUUGUAGGCAGAGCAUCUUAGUUUGAUUGUGUAAAGAUUCUAUCAUCCCAGCGUUUCAGGGAUAUUUUGCACUAUUCCUUUCUAAUACAUGGUGCUUUACUUGAGGACUGUAAGUAGGCAAAGGGGAGGAGGAGAUGGGAAUGCUCCACAAAAUGAAACUAUUUCUUCACCAAGCAGUUCAGUCUGUCUAGAGCCUAAAUCUGAAAUUGAAUCUGCUGGGCAAAACCUGUACAAUUUUUCUACCUGCCCUUAGUCUGCUUCUUUUCAACUAUGACAGUUUUACUAACUGAAAUGAAUGGGCUUGUUUACUGUGGUACCUUUUCUCAGAAUGCAUUUACAUCAAGUACUUCAAACAGCAAGCUGGGUGAUAUAUGUAGGCGGACAGCUUGCACAGAAUAAGCUUUAAUGGUUAAUUUUUGUAUAGUUUUAUAAGCGAAAGGGACUUAAAGCUACUAGCAGUAUAGAUCACAAGACCUUACGUGGUCUUUUCUUCUCUAGAUGCAUGAGAGAUUUACGCGCCUAAGUCCCAUAAGAGUUAAUGGGAGUUAUGCAUGUAAAUCUCCUGCACAGUGAGAUAAUAGGCCCUUUUAUGUAUCGAUAAGAUGGAUUCUUACUAACCAUUCAAAAUGAGCCUGGGUGCAAAUUUUAUGCUCCCUAUUAAUAUUUUAUUAGCAAAUAUUUAUAAAACAGACAGAAGAUGUAGGGCCCCUAAGAAUGGUCUUGAUCAUGGUCCCAUUGACGUUACUAGCAAAACUCUCAUUGAUGUCCACAGAGCAGGACUGGGCCCAAAAUUGGCAUUGUCUCCUCUGUUUGUACCUUUCCCUGCUCUACAUCUGCUGUUGAUUACAACAUAAACCUGACUGUGACAGGAUAUUGCAUAGGCCAAAUUACUUUUCACCUCUUUACAAACUCUUGUGGCUAAGGAUCUCACAGCAUGAGGACUGGAAAAGAAGGAAACCAUAGAGGAGACAGCUGGUACCAAUGCGCUAUAUCCUUCUCUCAUGGUUACACUCACUUUUAGCCCCACUGUCAGGUUGCUCAGGAGAGAUAACCAUCUCAAGGUAUAAUGGGACUGAAACUACAGUUCUGGAGCCUUAGAAUUCCACCUGUUCUGAGGGAAGAGAGUGCUUUUUAUACAGGAACCCGUGUUGUUCAAUGGAAGUAUCCUACAGGGUAGACAGUUCUCUCCAGGACAGUACUCAGAGUCUAUCCAAGGAACAAUACUUGUUCAGUCUUCAAUGUGAAAUACACAGGUGUUGCUAGCAUUGGACAUCUGCUUCAGUGUAAUGUCCCUCCCUGAGAAAGAAAACAGACUUUGCCUCACAUAAAUAAGAUCUUUGAAUUUCUCUUCAUUGAUAGAUAGAUAUACAUAUAUCUAUAUUAAAAACGUUAAAGAUUCAUAUCUGCAAGCCAUGAGUCUGAAUGAGAUGUUAUCCUAUGGUAAUGUGUAGCUGUAGAUAGCCAGUGCAACAGCACACCAGUACAUUGUUCCAGUAACAAUUCUUUGAUUUAUAAGCUAUAGCUCUUUUUUUUCCCAUCAUUGUUUCUUUACAUCACUUCUAUGCUUCUUGUGAUACUGAUCUGAGUGAGUUGUGCACGCUUCCAAUUUGCCAGCCCCCUGCUCCCAGGCCUGCUACAGCACUAUGCAAAUAAUUUAGUACAUUAGACUAUCAGAUUAAAUCCGAGGGUUUCUACCAGUGGUGGAAUCGGAAAAUCCAUUUUUUUUAUUAUCAUAUCAUCAGCCCCAACUGAUACUAGUAUUCUCAAGGAAAACAUACUUCAGUUACAGUUGAUUUUCAGAUUCCAAAAUGGUGCUGCAAAGUCUAUGCAUGCCUAAUUAUAUUUUAUAUUAGGCUGUGCAAUACAGAAUGUAUGCUGCAGCAAUCAGUGAGUUAACAGUAUCAAUCAAUUUGUAAACAGAUGAAGUCACUCAUUCCCAAACUGGUUUUCCAAAAACAAUUACUAAAUUACAAUAGAAAAAAAUUGUACAGUUACUGUAUUUGUGUGCUGUGUUACAAUCAACAUACCAGGGAAACAAAACAAUUUAAUGCAGAAAAAUCAUCAUUCAUCUACAUUAUAAUUGCUUCUUUUUCACAUCUACAGGGCGGUUAAUUAAAAUUGUGAUUAAAUGCGGUCGCGCUGCCUAAGAUGUCUUGCCCAAAACAGGUGGUACAGAAUUUAAAAGUAAAAAAAAUGUAAUUAGCAUUGGAAAUUGAGAAAUUGCCUGUAAGAAUCAGUGUUAAUUUCAGUCAGUGAUGAGGUAAUUUAUAAAUGAAUGCGGUGGAGGCUGUGCAAAUGCACAAUUGCCUUCCUUCCCAUUCUUAGCAUUCUCAGCAUGCAGGUGAAAAUGUUUUCAAAAUAUUGAGGUAAUUUGAAAAUCAAUCCAUGCAUUCUGUAUCUUUUUUCUCCUGUUUGUAGCGAAUACUGAACAAAUGCUGCCAUAGAUGGCAUAAUAUAUCAGUUUUGCACUUACUGAAAGCAAUAUUACUUCAUAUAUUGUGGCAUCCGAUAGAGUUUAACUAAACAAAAUGCCUGGCUAAGAUUCUUUACAAAAGCCAAAAUGUUGAUUGAAGUCCUUAGUGACCCUGAAUCUCUUCAAAUAUAUUAUGUGUUUAAAAUACGCUUUCCCUAAAAAGGCAAUAGCAAUCUGCAUUGAGUAUUAAAACUGAUACUGUAAAACAAAAUAGAUGCUAAUAUGACAUCAAAAUCUUGAUUUCUUGGUUACAAUUAAUGCAAUGCACUAGAAAAGUCUCAACAGAACAAAUAUUUUCUUUAAAAAACUCUUCUUGUAAACAUUUAUUCAAUAUUUCAUCCCAGAACUAUAAAAAAAACUGUUACAUAGGUUAUCUAUACGCAUAUUUUUUCUUAGAUGAUCUGUGCUUUUCAUAAACUUUGACUGAUAAAAUCAAAAAUGCUCAUUUCUAACUAAAGUACAUCCUUCUGGACAUAAACAAUUAAGCACAAACUUCACAGCAACCAAUAUGUUACAGGUUAGUGUAACCUCAAAUAAAUAAAUUUAAAAAUUCCAAAAUACGUACAUCACGGUAGACUAUAAAAAUACACAGCACUAAACGAUUUGAACAGUCAUUGCAUUAUUGUUGGACUUCAAAACAACUGUCAUUUAUAGUUAUCCAUGUGGGUAUUUAAAAAUAACUUCUGCUUUUGAUAAUGUUGACCAUUUGAAUGAUGUGCAUGUAGAGUUAGUCUGAUUUCCAAGCAGCAAAAUACAGGUGUUGGUUAUCAGGUUGCAAUGAUAAUAGGUGAAGCUGUGAGAUGGCUCUCAAGCAUCACACACUUUAAUUAAAGAAAGCUAGUAUACACCUAUAAGGACUUUGUUACCCAUAUAAUUACAUAAGUAUUGCAAAUCAUUUUAUUAGUCUAUCUCCAAUAGUUAACUUUUCUCAGAGAAACUUGUUUUUCUUUUUUGUAAGCCCUGUGAACUUGUGCAUUUUAGAGCAUAUUUUGCUACCUGUUGCAGUUGCUAGGCCUUUGCCUCCACAUGGUGAUUAGUACUGUGAAUGGACAGGUACAGGUCAGAGAAUAUUGAUUUCUUUAACAAUAUAGUUUAGUAGUGAGAAAAUGUAUUGGUUAGGGUACAGGACUGUGAGUCAGGAGAUCUGGAUUCUAGUCUUAGUUCUGCUGGAGAUUCUUUGGGCCUGGGUCUGAUCUCCCCUCCAGCAGUGUAUAGUCAGUGGAAUUAUACCCUUGUAUAGUUACAGAAGACAAGAUCAGAAUCAAGAGCCAUGUGUGCUGUCAGGCAUGUCAGUUAGCCUCUCUGUGCUUGUUUUCCUGUACCUUAUUGGUACAGCAUCAUGGGGACAUAAUCUUUACCUCCUUCAAAUGGUUUUUGUAAGGUUUAGCAUUUACAAAGCACUUUGAGAUCCUUAGUAGCUGCAGAAAUAUUAUUUAUUAUUAUGGUUUCAUGAUAAACUAAUCAGAUGCAAAGGAA